Molecule: long non-coding RNA, 919 nt
Organism: Cyprinus carpio (common carp)
Lineage: Eukaryota; Metazoa; Chordata; Actinopteri; Cypriniformes; Cyprinidae
Exons: 2
Source: RefSeq, a predicted model, not a curated record
CACAGAAGAUAAAACAAUGCUUGUUUUUGUCCUGUAGAUCCCUCUAAUGUCCCCAAUGGAAAGACGUGUUACUCUUGUGAUGAGAAGAGCUGCUCAAACAUAUUGAGCUGUUCAGGAAGUGAAGACCGCUGCUUCAAAGCAACAGGGAGUUUCGGUGGCCAGUCAAUGGUUAUAAAAGGCUGUGUCUCUAAAUCUAUCUGUGAUGCUGAAACAUCAGUUCAGGAUGUUCAGGGAGCCUCAUGUUGUGAGGGGAACCUGUGUAACGGUGCUCAGAGCAUCUCUCAGAGCUUCCUGUUCCUCUGCUGUUCUCUGAUCUCCUUCAUCCUGCUGCACUGAAUCCAGCAGCUCUUCACAUCUACAAUCAGACACACUGCACUGAAUAUAGAGCUUGUACUUUCUCUGUACUGUGCAUAUUUGGUGUGUUUCUAUGAUUUUUUUGCUGAGACAUUCUGAUGUGAUAUUUUAUGAAUUAAAACCUUUCAAUUAAUACAGCGUGUCAUGCUGUAAAAAAUCAUUACUACAAUUUUUUUUAAUUUUUUUAAUUCUUAAAAUAAAAUAUAAAUUAAAUGAUCAUUAUGUUCAGAAUAAGCAUGUGUGAUAAUUAUUUAAUUAUUCAAACAAGUUAAACUCUUUAGUUUUUAUUCUGAGGUUUGUUUAUAACAAUAUCUGCAUUCCCACUAAAAGGAAUGCUGUUCAGUUACAGAUCACAAAGGCAAUAAAGUAAAAAAUUUAGAUAUAUAGGCCUAUGUUGAGAAGUAAUAUUUUGCAAAUACAUUUGUCAGUAUUUCUCACUCAGUAUAUUUUAUGUAGCUGCCAAGGAGUCAAGGAGAAGAGUUGACAAAAAUUUUAUAAGUUGGUUUGUCAAUUAUCAACAAACGUUGUCCAACAUUGUUUCGAAAAAUAAAGAAAACAAACACAA